Molecule: ribosomal RNA, 318 nt
Filed under: Triticum aestivum (bread wheat)
Lineage: Eukaryota; Viridiplantae; Streptophyta; Magnoliopsida; Poales; Poaceae
Description: partial small subunit ribosomal RNA
Source: RNAcentral
AUGGCAGAGUUUUGGUACAAUUCCUCUUACCACACAUCACUUGGCAACACUCCUUUUAAGGCUUUAUAUGGCAUUGAUCCUAAAUUUGGUACUAUGCCGAUUGACACUGGAGAAUUACCUUCUUCCCUGGCAGAGCUAGCAGCAAAUCGUGAAGAUUUUUUGGCUCUGUUACGUGACCAUCUCCUGCGUGCUCAGCAGAGAAUCAAGUCACGGGCUGAUAAGCAUCGUAUGGAUAGGGAAUUUGCUGUUGGUGAGGAAGUUCUGCUCAAGCUCCAGCCAUAUGCACAAUCUUCGCUGGUCAACCGCCCCUGCCACUAG